This is a long non-coding RNA of Triticum dicoccoides, 603 nucleotides long. RefSeq lists it as uncharacterized. The transcript has 5 exons. Lineage: Eukaryota; Viridiplantae; Streptophyta; Magnoliopsida; Poales; Poaceae. The record is from RefSeq and is a predicted model, not a curated record.
GGGGUGCGGGGUUCAGUUCGACGAUGACGAGCCAGGCAGCCGACCUUUGCAUCAUGAACUGGCGUAGUUUGAUCUUGCCCGGUGCUGGCCCUGCACAAAUGGCAUCUUCAGCUCACCAUGCUACCUCCGCCGAUCAUCUUACAUGUCAAGCACCAAACCGACACCGCGGCUUCUGCUGCUGGUGCUAGUGUGGAUGUUUAGCAAGUUCAACUACCAGUCUACGCCGAGUUCAGGUCAUUGGCAAAAAUAUAUUCCAUGUGGAGCCCCUGCUGGUCGCCCUCAGCCACGAGCUCAUCCACCACAAUUGCCGACAGCCGUCUGAGUCGAGCGCUGACCGCAGUCCAAGUAGAAUGGUGGCCACCAUCUUCACCAAGAGCUGCACAACGGUCUAGUUCAAUAAAACAAAAGAUGGAAGGUCAGAUAUGGCACCGAGAUAAGUUAGAAAAAAUGGUUUCAACAUAAUGCAAUUUGGAGGAACCACAACGCCCAGGCCAUUCACAGCCGCCACCCCAGUCUGUUCACCAUCGCCAACCGAGGCCGUUCAACGACGCGUCGGGCAGAGGUUCGUUUGCCUCAUUGAUUCAUUCAAAAAAUAGGAAAGUU